UCUGGGAGACGGAGAAUAAGA
Caenorhabditis elegans is the source of this 21-nucleotide non-coding RNA. NCBI's taxonomy places the organism in Eukaryota, Metazoa, Nematoda, Chromadorea, Rhabditida, Rhabditidae. The record is from Ensembl.